GACAGAGGGUGCAAACGUUGCUCGGAAUCACUGGGCGUAAAGGGCGUGUAGGCGGAUCGGCAAGUCGGGCGUGAAAUCCCCGGGCUUAACCUGGGAAUGGCAUUUGGGACUGCAAGGCUGGAGUGCGGCAGAGGAGACUGGAAUUCCUGGUGUAGCAGUGAAAUGCGUAGAUAUCAGGAGGAACACCUGUGGUGUAGACAGCUUACUGGACCAUCACUGACGCUGAGACACGAAAGCGUGGGUAGCAAACAGG
RNAcentral lists this ribosomal RNA (253 nucleotides) under uncultured bacterium. Its description in RNAcentral is "partial 16S ribosomal RNA". It matches the Rfam family "Bacterial small subunit ribosomal RNA", at positions 524 to 776 of the family's 1533-position model. The record is from RNAcentral.